Molecule: ribosomal RNA, 490 nt
Filed under: uncultured bacterium
Lineage: Bacteria
Description: partial 16S ribosomal RNA
Rfam family: Bacterial small subunit ribosomal RNA
Source: RNAcentral
AUUGAACGCUGGCGGCAGGCCUAACACAUGCAAGUCGAACGGUAACAGGAAGAAGCUUGCUUCUUUGCUGACGAGUGGCGGACGGGUGAGUAAUGUCUGGGAAACUGCCUGAUGGAGGGGGAUAACUACUGGAAACGGUAGCUAAUACCGCAUAACGUCGCAAGACCAAAGGGGGGGACCUUCGGGCCUCUUGCCAUCGGAUGUGCCCAGAUGGGAUUAGCUAGUAGGUGGGGUAACGGCUCACCUAGGCGACGAUCCCUAGCUGGUCUGAGAGGAUGACCAGCCACACUGGAACUGAGACACGGUCCAGACUCCUACGGGAGGCAGCAGUGGGGAAUAUUGCACAAUGGGCGCAAGCCUGAUGCAGCCAUGCCGCGUGUGUGAAGAAGGCCUUCGGGUUGUAAAGUACUUUCAGCGGGGAGGAAGGGAGUAAAGUUAAUACCUUUGCUCAUUGACGUUACCCGCAGAAGAAGCACCGGCUAACUCCGUG